GAUGAACGCUAGCUACAGGCUUAACACAUGCAAGUCGAGGGGAAACGGCAUUGAGUGCUUGCACUCUUUGGACGUCGACCGGCGCACGGGUGAGUAACGCGUAUCCAACCUUCCCAUUACUGUGGGAUAACCUGCCGAAAGGCAGACUAAUACCGCAUAGCCUUCGAUGACGGCAUCAGAUUUGAAGUAAAGAUUUAUCGGUAAUGGAUGGGGAUGCGUCUGAUUAGCUUGUUGGCGGGGUAACGGCCCACCAAGGCUACGAUCAGUAGGGGUUCUGAGAGGAAGGUCCCCCACAUGGGAACUGAGACACGGUCCAAACUCCUACGGGAGGCAGCAGUGAGGAAUAUUGGUCAAUGGACGGAAGUCUGAACCAGCCAAGUAGCGUGCAGGAUGACGGCCCUAUGGGUUGUAAACUGCUUUUGUAUGGGGAUAAAGUUAGGGACGUGUCCCUAUUUGCAGGUACCAGACGAAUAAGGACCGGCUAAUUCCGUG
Molecule: ribosomal RNA, 492 nt
Filed under: uncultured bacterium
Lineage: Bacteria
Description: partial 16S ribosomal RNA
Rfam family: Bacterial small subunit ribosomal RNA
Source: RNAcentral